RNAcentral lists this long non-coding RNA (323 nucleotides) under Phaseolus vulgaris (common bean). RNAcentral's name for it is "long non-coding RNA (PVUL_LNC000969)". The record is from RNAcentral. Lineage: Eukaryota; Viridiplantae; Streptophyta; Magnoliopsida; Fabales; Fabaceae.
GGGGAGUAUGAUGGAGAUCAAGAUCAAGAAGAGAUAGAGGCCAAAGAUCAAGGACAAGAGGAGGUAGAGGCCGAAGUUGAAGAAGCUCAAGAAGUCAUUAACCUACCUCAAAGGCUUACAAGGAGCAAGUUUAAGGAAAUAGGAAGUAGUGGUAGAUUGUUUUCUCUUUUUAUAGUGUCUUUUGUAUAAAAAGUAGAAUGUUUAAAUACAUAGUUUUUAGGAAGGUGCUUAGACGGAAACAUUAGAUACCUCUUUUGUAAAGCAUCUUUAGGCUUUAGUUUAGAAUUUUCUAGAAGAUGAUUCUUCAUGAGUCACUAUAGGCG